This 449-nucleotide ribosomal RNA is filed under the name uncultured bacterium. RNAcentral's name for it is "partial 16S ribosomal RNA". It matches the Rfam family "Bacterial small subunit ribosomal RNA", at positions 29 to 523 of the family's 1533-position model. The record is from RNAcentral.
AAUGAACGCUGGCGGCAUGCCUAACACAUGCAAGUCGAACGAAGGCUUCGGCCUUAGUGGCGCACGGGUGCGUAACGCGUGGGAAUCUGCCCUCAGGUUCGGAAUAACAGCGGGAAAUUGCUGCUAAUACCGAAUGAUAUCGCGAGAUCAAAGAUUUAUCGCCUGUGGAUGAGCCCGCGUAGGAUUAGCUAGUUGGUGUGGUAAAGGCGCACCAAGGCGACGAUCCUUAGCUGGUCUGAGAGGAUGAUCAGCCACACUGGGACUGAGACACGGCCCAGACUCCUACGGGAGGCAGCAGUGGGGAAUAUUGGACAAUGGGCGAAAGCCUGAUCCAGCAAUGCCGCGUGAGUGAUGAAGGCCUUAGGGUUGUAAAGCUCUUUUACCCGGGAUGAUAAUGACAGUACCGGGAGAAUAAGCUCCGGCUAACUCCGUGCCAGCCGCCGCCGUAA